This 560-nucleotide ribosomal RNA is filed under the name Vibrio sp. NH89-30. RNAcentral describes it as "bacterial SSU rRNA". It matches the Rfam family "Bacterial small subunit ribosomal RNA", at positions 104 to 660 of the family's 1533-position model. The record is from RNAcentral. Lineage: Bacteria; Pseudomonadati; Pseudomonadota; Gammaproteobacteria; Vibrionales; Vibrionaceae.
GGGUGAGUAAUGCCUAGGAAAUUGCCCUGAUGUGGGGGAUAACCAUUGGAAACGAUGGCUAAUACCGCAUAAUGCCUACGGGCCAAAGAGGGGGACCUUCGGGCCUCUCGCGUCAGGAUAUGCCUAGGUGGGAUUAGCUAGUUGGUGAGGUAAGGGCUCACCAAGGCGACGAUCCCUAGCUGGUCUGAGAGGAUGAUCAGCCACACUGGAACUGAGACACGGUCCAGACUCCUACGGGAGGCAGCAGUGGGGAAUAUUGCACAAUGGGCGCAAGCCUGAUGCAGCCAUGCCGCGUGUGUGAAGAAGGCCUUCGGGUUGUAAAGCACUUUCAGUCGUGAGGAAGGUAGUGUAGUUAAUAGCUGCAUUAUUUGACGUUAGCGACAGAAGAAGCACCGGCUAACUCCGUGCCAGCAGCCGCGGUAAUACGGAGGGUGCGAGCGUUAAUCGGAAUUACUGGGCGUAAAGCGCAUGCAGGUGGUUUGUUAAGUCAGAUGUGAAAGCCCGGGGCUCAACCUCGGAAUUGCAUUUGAAACUGGCAGACUAGAGUACUGUAGAGGGGG